CCGCUCCUUGUCCCUGUAGGCAGGGGAUGCUCCCAAAGUCUAGGGCCCUGUCAGUGUCCCUCUUGCCAGAUGGCCCUGGGCAGGGUCUGCCCCCUGCCAGGGUGUGCCCCAAACAGGACACUGGGCAGAAACCAGGAGGGGUGGUGAAGGGAGCCCCGUCCGCCCUGGCCCUGCCGAGGUGUCUGGCAAAGGUGGAGAGUCCAGCCCCAGCCAGGACAGGGCUCCCCUAGGUGGCGUGGAGCUGGCGCUGGGCCUCCCUGACCCAGGCCCUGCCCUGGCCCACCUAUCUGGUCACCAGCAUCGGACAGCAGGUGACACUCCAGGUCGCCCGCCAGGUAACCCAGCCGUCUCCAUGGAGCCCUGGCCGCAGGCCAGGGCCACUGCCGGGAGUAGAGGUCACCAGUGACUGGUGAGCCAACUGAGGCACAGAGGGUGCAGGGCUUCCAGGUCCGGCCGGGGGGCCCAGCAGGCUCGGGCUGAGCGGCAGAAGGGCUGCGGGCUGGGGACCCACAUGCUCCCAACUCCAACUCUCCGUCCCUUGCCCCAAGCUCGGAGGCUCCUCUGACCCUCGGGCUCUCAGCACCAACAGGUUGGCGAGCGGCGGGCACCCAGGAGGCCCCAAGGACCCGCCCCGCUCCGGGAGAAGGCGGACGAGGCCCUGGGCUUAGACUUCUGGGCUGCUCCCGUACACAGCGGGUGCUCACUAAGUGCAGGUCGCCAAGGACCGCGGGCCGUGUCUCCCCUCAUCAGAAAACAACCAGGCACUUUCCGACCUCAGGGCCUCUGCUCAGUGGCUCCUCCGCUGGAUCACCGCCCCCAGAUUCUUGCCUCCUCCUCCGUCUGGUUCAGGCUUCAUGAUUGCUUUAUUAGAAAGUUCUUUGCUUGCUGGGUGUGGUGCACGCCUGUGAUCCCAGCACUCUGGGAGGCUGAGGCAGGAGGAUCACAAGUUCAAGCCCAUCCUGGGCAAUUUAGCAACUUAGCAAGACCCUGUCUCAAAAUUAGAUAAAGGGCUGGGGAUGCAGCUCAGUGUGAGCCCUGG
Heterocephalus glaber (naked mole-rat) is the source of this 1039-nucleotide non-coding RNA. NCBI's taxonomy places the organism in Eukaryota, Metazoa, Chordata, Mammalia, Rodentia, Bathyergidae. The record is from RefSeq and is a predicted model, not a curated record.